Molecule: ribosomal RNA, 416 nt
Filed under: uncultured bacterium
Lineage: Bacteria
Description: bacterial SSU rRNA
Rfam family: Bacterial small subunit ribosomal RNA
Source: RNAcentral
CCGAAAGGCAGGAGUGCCUGCAAGGGAGCGCGGAGACAGGUGGUGCAUGGCUGUCGUCAGCUCGUGUCGUGAGAUGUUGGGUUAAGUCCCGCAACGAGCGCAACCCUCACCUCUUGUUGCCAUCAGGUCAUGCUGGGCACUCUAGAGGAACUGCCCCGGUCAACGGGGAGGAAGGCGGGGAUGACGUCAAGUCAUCAUGCCCCUUACGUCCUGGGCUACACACGUGCUACAAUGGCCGGUACAAAGGGAAGCCACACCGCGAGGUAGAGCUAAACCCAAAAAGCCGGUCUAAGUUCGGAUUGGAGUCUGCAACUCGACUCCAUGAAGGAGGAAUCGCUAGUAAUCGCGUAUCAGCACGACGCGGUGAAUACGUUCCCGGGCCUUGUACACACCGCCCGUCACACCACGAAAGCCAG